Molecule: long non-coding RNA, 276 nt
Organism: Cucurbita moschata (crookneck pumpkin)
Lineage: Eukaryota; Viridiplantae; Streptophyta; Magnoliopsida; Cucurbitales; Cucurbitaceae
Exons: 2
Source: RefSeq, a predicted model, not a curated record
UUACAAAACGGAAAAAAAAAAUGCCACGUCGGACGCGCACUCUAUCACUAAUUCCGCGGGUCGCGGCGGGUCUUCCGAAGGAAAUCUCGGUGAAGCGCGUGGAAUCCACGAACCAAUGGCUUCGGUUGUCGUGGUUGAAUAUUCCAAUUCCAUGCAACGUUGGUAUUUUUAGAGUUUAAACAAAGAAAAAUGUUUGGUCAUUUUUUUCUGCGGAAACUGCCGACUGAAAAUUUAACCUUUUCUGGAAACGUAAUCAAAGGGAUUUUCUUCCUCUUA